Molecule: ribosomal RNA, 250 nt
Filed under: uncultured Oscillospiraceae bacterium
Lineage: Bacteria; Bacillati; Bacillota; Clostridia; Eubacteriales; Oscillospiraceae
Description: partial 16S ribosomal RNA
Rfam family: Bacterial small subunit ribosomal RNA
Source: RNAcentral
GUUAGUGGCGGACGGGUGAGUAACGCGUGAGCAACCUGCCUCAAAGAGGGGGAUAACAUUCUGAAAAGGAUGCUAAUACCGCAUGAAAUCACGGGAAGACAUCUUCCUGUGAUCAAAGGAGCAAUCCGCUUUGAGAUGGGCUCGCGUCCGAUUAGGUAGUUGGUGAGGUAACGGCCCACCAAGCCGACGAUCGGUAGCCGGACUGAGAGGUUGAACGGCCACAUUGGGACUGAGACACGGCCCAGACUCC